CCAGCCCAAUAGCCCGGUGAUUAAAGCCCAAUCUGUAAUAACAAACAAACUCCACCUGCAACGAGUAACGAACUUGUUGCUCUGAGCGAUAAAGAAAGGAACUGAACAGCGUCGUUUCAAGCAUAGAAAACGAGCUGAAGAGAUGGCCGCCGAAAAUACAAGCAUAAGAGUUCUUUGCCCUAAGCUACUAAUCACCAGAAAAGAAGCAGGACUCCAAUGGCUAAUCGGAUCACCCUUUUUCCCGCCAUUCACAAUUGUCUCGACUUUCAGAUGCAUCCACACAUUCGAAAACUCUCUCUCUCCAAAUUACAACAAAGAAUCAGAAGAAAUCCGAGCACUAUUACUGAAUGGAUUCCAUGUGAUCGGAGCUUUAAUAAUUACUGGAAGCUCUGAUGGAGAAAAACUUGCUGCUGAGGCCAUAAAUGCUGGUUUCGAAUUUAGCAAAAUUCUCUAUGAUGACAGAGAACUGGGCAAGAAAAGAGUGAUUGGAGCAGUUGCUGACUUGGAUAGUGGUGAUACUAAGUUUUUUGUUUCGAGAAGUGGCAAUUUAACGAGUAUUGAAUCUAUUGCUUCUGUUAUUUAUGAAGAUCAUCCUGAGAAGUAUGUUUGGGAGAAAGGUUGCUUGAUUCGAUGUCAUCUUCCUAUUAAGUUACCUUUUUGUGUUCCUGUAAACAAUCCGCUUGAUGCAGAGAAGAUGUUUUUGUGUGCAACGGAAGCAGCUGUUGCACAAUUAAAAGAUCCACAGGCUGUAUACAUGGUAGAAAGAUUAAGCAACGAGUCUUUAGAAGUAACUGCACCUGCCAUUAUAUGUGGUACUGGAUUGGAUUUUAAGACAGAUCUCUCAGAUAUUAAGCUUGUGGAUAAAGAAGCUUCACGAGAUUCUGAUGCAAAAGUAUUAACAUGUGGAGACUUUUGUUUGAAUAGCAAAUCUUCUCCAACAGUGUUUUCUGCAGAGAAUGCAGAUGUGAUCCUAGUGACUGUUCUGCUUAAUCGGUCACAGAAGUCCCCACUGUCUGUGGCACCCAUUGCGGAAUAUUUUCCAGCUUUGGGAGAUGCCAGAUUUCUAGUCGUGCAUUUUGAGCUAGAUGUGCUGUGUUAUGCAGACAAGGAUCUUUCACUGAUAUAUGCUGUUUCAAAGUUGAUAAUCCCAGGGUUAGUUGACCAAUUACAUUCAAUGAAGAAAGCAAUCUUGCCUAAUCUCUUAGCAGAACAUCCACAGCUACAUUCAUACCAUUUUAAUCCUCCUGGGCUUUUGCAUCCAAUAACUGUUGUCUAUGAACUCAAUUAUGGGGAGACCGAACUGAAACAAGUUGAGGUCAGAAGGUCCUUACACUUGAGGCUGGGGCUCCCUUUUGAUCGUCCUCUUCUAAGAGUUGCUAAUGCACUGGAUUUCUCUACUGCAAAGGAUAGUUCAGGAGGAAAUUCAAGACGAAAAGGCUUGUCUUUGCUUAAAGAUGUGCAUCUUGGGAUCCCAAGUAGUGGGGUUUCCGGAGGGAUUGUUGCUCUAGUUCAAGGUUCUUAUGACUACCAUCACUAUCUCCAAGAUGGCUUUGAUGACUCGGGCUGGGGUUGUGCUUACCGCUCUCUGCAAACUAUCAUUUCAUGGUUCAGACUUCAGCACUAUACUUCCAUUGAAGUUCCUUCUCAUAGGGAAAUACAGCAAUCUCUAGUGGAGAUAGGGGAUAAAGAUCCUUCAUUUAUUGGGUCUCGUGAUUGGAUUGGUGCUAUAGAGUUGAGCUUUGUUUUGGAUAAACUUCUGGGUGUAACUAGCAAGAUCAUAAAUGUGAGAUCAGGAGCUGAGCUUCUUGAAAAAUGUAGAGAGCUGGCAUUGCAUUUUGAGACUCAAGGAACACCCAUUAUGAUCGGUGGUGGUGUUCUUGCGUACACUCUUUUGGGAGUUCAUUACAACGAAGUCAGUGGAGAUUGUGCAUUUCUGAUACUAGAUCCUCAUUAUACUGGUAAUGAUGAGCACAAGAAAAUUAUAAAUGGCGGAUGGUGUGGAUGGAAAAAAGCUGUUGACAGCAAAGGAAAGAGUUUCUUCUUGCAUGACAAGUUCUAUAAUCUUCUGCUGCCACAGAGGCCCAACAUGGUUUAGAGGUGACUAUACUACCAAACUGAUAUAUAAACCGAACCUUCAUACUAAUUGCAUGUCAAAAGGAGAAAGUUAGACUAGGGCCAUCGGCAUCGGACAAUAUCUUCUUUAAAAUAGUUCCUUAAAAUGGAGUUGAGAUUUCUGUGUGAAUGCAGUGAAGUGCUUAAGAGUGUUUGCUCAUUGGUGCAUUUGUUUGGGUUUAUACCGGCUCGUACUUUAUUUUUGGCAGGUGAUCUUGGAGAAGUCGGCUUAUUGGCUGUUAAUUUGAGUGGGAAUCAGAGUUAUCUUCAUUCAUAUAAAAAACUGUGCUCACUUAUUUUCUUGAGACGCCUUUUACUCGGCGACUAUUGUUUGAUCCAAAAUGAUUCCGUAUCGACUCUCCCCUCUUCCAAGGUAACGAAGCUUCCAAAAAAUACCCAAUACUGUUGGACCAUCGCGGUCUGGAUACUUAGACCCUGUGAUUUGGCUGCGCGCCAUCGGCACCGAGAUAGAAAUAAAUUGUGUGUGUUGUUCUUUUCCUUUGUUUUUUUUUUUUUUUUUUUUUUUUUUUUUUUUUUGAGAAGGGAGAUAGAAAAUAAUUGUUAUAGGGUACAUUAUUAAUUUUUUAAAUUUGUUCAUAUUAUCUUGUUUGAUAUAUAAUGACUUCAAAAAUAUUUGUUUGAAACAAUCAUUCAAUUAUCGAAAUGAGGGGUUUCAUACAAAUUCA
Ricinus communis (castor bean) is the source of this 2798-nucleotide RNA transcript. It is a transcript of the gene named probable Ufm1-specific protease, with no coding region annotated. The transcript has 14 exons. Lineage: Eukaryota; Viridiplantae; Streptophyta; Magnoliopsida; Malpighiales; Euphorbiaceae. The record is from RefSeq and is a predicted model, not a curated record.